UGACGGAGCAAUGUCGCGUGGAGGAUGAACGCCUAUGGGUUGUAAACCCCUUUUGUCAGGGAAGAAUAAUGACGGUACCUGACGAAUAAGCCUCGGCUAACUCCGUGCCAGCAGCCGCGGUAAUACGGAGGAGGCAAGCGUUAUCCGGAAUUAUUGGGCGUAAAGCGUCCGCAGGUGGUUGGUCAAGUCUGCUGUCAAAGCGCGAGGCUCAACUUCGUAAAGGCAGUGGAAACUGACUCACUAGAGUGCGGUAGGGGUAGAGGGAAUUCCCAGUGUAGCGGUGAAAUGCGUAGAUAUUGGGAAGAACACCGGUGGCGAAGGCGCUCUACUGGACCUGCACUGACACUGAGGGACGAAAGCUAGGGGAGCG
This 370-nucleotide ribosomal RNA is filed under the name uncultured cyanobacterium. Its description in RNAcentral is "bacterial SSU rRNA". It matches the Rfam family "Bacterial small subunit ribosomal RNA", at positions 384 to 770 of the family's 1533-position model. Lineage: Bacteria; Bacillati; Cyanobacteriota. The record is from RNAcentral.